GCAGGGGCGGGGCCUACGGGGUGGUGAGCGGGCCCUCUGCUGGUGGGGGGGCGGGGCCGGAGGAGCCACCGCCUCCCCGCCUCCUGGGGACCCUGAGGGAGAAAUUCCCUUUAGGGCUGAAUGCUUGGGCAAGUGACACGUGGUUUUCCUACUGUCGCCCCAACCUUAAAAGAACGAAUCCAGGCGGGGCAUUAGGGUUGUUUUUUUGGUAGAAACAAGGUCUCGCUAUCUUGCCCAGGCUGGCCUUGAACUCCUGACCUCAAGUGAUCCUCCGGCUCCCAAAGUGCUGGGAUUACAGCCUGUCAUCUUUUAGAGCUGUGUCUCCAGCCCAGGCCUGUCCUCCGAGUGCCGCCUGCCAACAUCUCCACGCAGAUGCCUCUUAUGCACCUCAAGCUCUUGCUUUCUUCAAAUCUGUUCCCCGCCACCGACUUCCCCAAACCUCAGUCCAUACAAUCAUUCAAGCCAGAAAGUAGGAGUCAUCUUGAUUCUGAUGGGGUUCAGAACACCAUAUCCCAAAAUAUAGCACCAUGGCAUUUGGAAAACAGCAAAAGCAGGAAGGUCACUUUCUGACUUCCUCCUGCCCUUCUCCCCUGAAGCAGACCAUGAAAGAAUCAUCUGACCUUCCUCUGAAGAAGGCCCUCAUUCCAGGGGUGCCCAGCCUGUACCCAGAGGAGAGGAAUGUCCUUAUGUCUGGAGACACAGGGAUACAGAGAGGAAUAUGAACAAACAGGCCUUGCUAAGUUCCCUCAGUUUAUUGCCAUUAGAUCACAUCCCCUUUGUCCAGUCAUACUGCUGCAUGACUGUCCACUCCAUCAAAACUAAGCAUGAAAAGACACAGGGUUCCCUGUUCCUUUGGGUCUUCAUCUGUGGAUGCGUCCAUGCCGUGUAAAAUAUAUUCAAUAAAUGUGUAUGAUUUUC
Pan troglodytes (chimpanzee) is the source of this 918-nucleotide long non-coding RNA. RefSeq lists it as uncharacterized. The record is from RefSeq and is a predicted model, not a curated record. Lineage: Eukaryota; Metazoa; Chordata; Mammalia; Primates; Hominidae. The transcript is spliced from 3 exons.